This 424-nucleotide ribosomal RNA is filed under the name uncultured bacterium. RNAcentral's name for it is "partial 16S ribosomal RNA". It matches the Rfam family "Bacterial small subunit ribosomal RNA", at positions 360 to 776 of the family's 1533-position model. The record is from RNAcentral.
AAUAUUGGACAAUGGGGGGAACCCUGAACCAGCGAUGCCGCGUGUGUGAAAAAGGUCUUCGGAUUGUAGAGCACUUUAAGUUGGGAGGAAGAGCUGUAGGCUAAUACAUUGCAAUUUUGACGUUACUAACAGAAUAAGCACCGGCUAAAUUCGGGACAGCUGCCGCGGUAAUACGAAGGGUGCAAGCGUUAAUCGGAAUUACUGGGCGUAAAGCGCGCGUAGGUGGUUCGUUAAGUUGGAAGUGAAAGCCCCGGGCUUAACCUGGGAAUUGCUUUCAAAACUGACGAGCUAGAGUACGGUAGAGGGUAGUGGAAUUUCCUGUGUAGCGGUGAAAUGCGUAGAUAUAGGAAGGAACAUCAGUGGCGAAGGCGACCACCUGGGCUAAUACUGACACUGAGGUGCGAAAGCGUGGGGAGCAAACAGG